Molecule: long non-coding RNA, 202 nt
Filed under: Gossypium barbadense (sea-island cotton)
Lineage: Eukaryota; Viridiplantae; Streptophyta; Magnoliopsida; Malvales; Malvaceae
Description: long non-coding RNA (GBAR_LNC003711)
Source: RNAcentral
GUUUUUAGUGAGGCCCCUAAAGGUUUACCACCUUUACAUGGGAUAGAACACUUCCAUUGGCCACAUAUGAAGAAGGAUGUCGAAAAGGUUCCCGAAAGACCGAAAGAUAACUUUCAACUUCAAUACCUUUCUGAUGAAAGACGCUUUCAUACGAUCAACAUAGGCAAAGAUGAAAUCACACUACAUGAGCCCGAAGGUAAGC